RNAcentral lists this ribosomal RNA (253 nucleotides) under uncultured bacterium. RNAcentral's name for it is "partial 16S ribosomal RNA". It matches the Rfam family "Bacterial small subunit ribosomal RNA", at positions 524 to 776 of the family's 1533-position model. The record is from RNAcentral.
UACGUAGGGGGCUAGCGUUGUCCGGAAUCAUUGGGCGUAAAGCGCGUGUAGGCGGUCCGGUAAGUCCGCUGUGAAAGUCGGGGGCUCAACCCUCGGAUGCCGGUGGAUACUGUCGGGCUUGAGUACGGAAGAGGCGAGUGGAAUUCCUGGUGUAGCGGUGAAAUGCGCAGAUAUCAGGAGGAACACCAAUUGCGAAGGCAGCUCGCUGGGACGUUACUGACGCUGAGGCACGAAAGCGUGGGGAUCAAACAGG